UACGGAGUGUGCAAGCGUUACUCGGAAUCACUGGGCAUAAAGGGCGCGUAGGCGGGCUUUCAAGUCGGUUGUGAAAUCCCUCAGCUCAACUGAGGAACUGCAUCCGAUACUGUCUGUCUUGAGGACGAGAGGGGAGAGUGGAACUUCUGGUGGAGCGGUGAAAUGCGUAGAUAUCAGAAGGAACGCCGGUGGCGAAAGCGACUCUCUGGCUCGUAUCUGACGCUGAAGCGCGAAAGCUUGGGUAGCAAACGGG
RNAcentral lists this ribosomal RNA (253 nucleotides) under uncultured bacterium. Its description in RNAcentral is "partial 16S ribosomal RNA". It matches the Rfam family "Bacterial small subunit ribosomal RNA", at positions 524 to 776 of the family's 1533-position model. The record is from RNAcentral.